GACGAACGCUGGCGGCGUGCUUAACACAUGCAAGUCGAGCGGUAAGGCCCUUUCGGGGGUACGACGAGCGGCGAACGGGUGAGUAACACGUGGGUGACCUGCCCUCAGCUCUGGGAUAAGCCUGGGAAACCGGGUCUAAUACUGGAUAUGACUCCAUGACGCAUGUUGUGGGGUGGAAAGCCUUGUGCGGCUGAGGAUGGGCCCGCGGCCUAUCAGCUUGUUGGUGGGGUGANGGCCUACCAAGGCGACGACGGGUAGCCGGCCUGAGAGGGCGACCGGCCACACUGGGACUGAGACACGGCCCAGACUCCUACGGGAGACAGCAGUGGGGAAUCUUGCGCAAUGGGCGAAAGCCUGACGCAGCGACGCCGCGUGAGGGAUGACGGCCU
RNAcentral lists this ribosomal RNA (389 nucleotides) under uncultured bacterium. RNAcentral's name for it is "bacterial SSU rRNA". It matches the Rfam family "Bacterial small subunit ribosomal RNA", at positions 28 to 417 of the family's 1533-position model. The record is from RNAcentral.